This 120-nucleotide ribosomal RNA is filed under the name gamma proteobacterium IMCC1989. Lineage: Bacteria; Pseudomonadati; Pseudomonadota; Gammaproteobacteria; Alteromonadales. The record is from RNAcentral.
UGCUUGACGACCAUAGAGAAUUGGAACCACCUGACCCCAUACCGAACUCAGAAGUGAAACGAUUCCUCGCCGAUGGUAGUGUGGGGUUUCCCCAUGUGAGAGUAGGUCAUCGUCAAGCUU